GGUUAAGCGACUAAGCGUACACGGUGGAUGCCCUGGCAGUCAGAGGCGAUGAAGGACGUGCUAAUCUGCGAUAAGCGUCGGUAAGGUGAUAUGAACCGUUAUAACCGGCGAUUUCCGAAUGGGGAAACCCAGUGUGUUUCGACACACUAUCAUUAACUGAAUCCAUAGGUUAAUGAGGCGAACCGGGGGAACUGAAACAUCUAAGUACCCCGAGGAAAAGAAAUCAACCGAGAUUCCCCCAGUAGCGGCGAGCGAACGGGGAGCAGCCCAGAGCCUGAAUCAGUGUGUGUGUUAGUGGAAGCGUCUGGAAAGGCGCGCGAUACAGGGUGACAGCCCCGUACACAAAAAUGCACAUGCUGUGAGCUCGAUGAGUAGGGCGGGACACGUGGUAUCCUGUCUGAAUAUGGGGGGACCAUCCUCCAAGGCUAAAUACUCCUGACUGACCGAUAGUGAACCAGUACCGUGAGGGAAAGGCGAAAAGAACCCCGGCGAGGGGAGUGAAAAAGAACCUGAAACCGUGUACGUACAAGCAGUGGGAGCACGCUUAGGCGUGUGACUGCGUACCUUUUGUAUAAUGGGUCAGCGACUUAUAUUCUGUAGCAAGGUUAACCGAAUAGGGGAGCCGAAGGGAAACCGAGUCUUAACUGGGCGUUAAGUUGCAGGGUAUAGACCCGAAACCCGGUGAUCUAGCCAUGGGCAGGUUGAAGGUUGGGUAACACUAACUGGAGGACCGAACCGACUAAUGUUGAAAAAUUAGCGGAUGACUUGUGGCUGGGGGUGAAAGGCCAAUCAAACCGGGAGAUAGCUGGUUCUCCCCGAAAGCUAUUUAGGUAGCGCCUCGUGAAUUCAUCUCCGGGGGUAGAGCACUGUUUCGGCAAGGGGGUCAUCCCGACUUACCAACCCGAUGCAAACUGCGAAUACCGGAGAAUGUUAUCACGGGAGACACACGGCGGGUGCUAACGUCCGUCGUGAAGAGGGAAACAACCCAGACCGCCAGCUAAGGUCCCAAAGUCAUGGUUAAGUGGGAAACGAUGUGGGAAGGCCCAGACAGCCAGGAUGUUGGCUUAGAAGCAGCCAUCAUUUAAAGAAAGCGUAAUAGCUCACUGGUCGAGUCGGCCUGCGCGGAAGAUGUAACGGGGCUAAACCAUGCACCGAAGCUGCGGCAGCGACGCUUAUGCGUUGUUGGGUAGGGGAGCGUUCUGUAAGCCUGUGAAGGUGUGCUGUGAGGCAUGCUGGAGGUAUCAGAAGUGCGAAUGCUGACAUAAGUAACGAUAAAGCGGGUGAAAAGCCCGCUCGCCGGAAGACCAAGGGUUCCUGUCCAACGUUAAUCGGGGCAGGGUGAGUCGACCCCUAAGGCGAGGCCGAAAGGCGUAGUCGAUGGGAAACAGGUUAAUAUUCCUGUACUUGGUGUUACUGCGAAGGGGGGACGGAGAAGGCUAUGUUGGCCGGGCGACGGUUGUCCCGGUUUAAGCGUGUAGGCUGGUUUUCCAGGCAAAUCCGGAAAAUCAAGGCUGAGGCGUGAUGACGAGGCACUACGGUGCUGAAGCAACAAAUGCCCUGCUUCCAGGAAAAGCCUCUAAGCAUCAGGUAACAUCAAAUCGUACCCCAAACCGACACAGGUGGUCAGGUAGAGAAUACCAAGGCGCUUGAGAGAACUCGGGUGAAGGAACUAGGCAAAAUGGUGCCGUAACUUCGGGAGAAGGCACGCUGAUAUGUAGGUGAAGUCCCUCGCGGAUGGAGCUGAAAUCAGUCGAAGAUACCAGCUGGCUGCAACUGUUUAUUAAAAACACAGCACUGUGCAAACACGAAAGUGGACGUAUACGGUGUGACGCCUGCCCGGUGCCGGAAGGUUAAUUGAUGGGGUCAGCGCAAGCGAAGCUCUUGAUCGAAGCCCCGGUAAACGGCGGCCGUAACUAUAACGGUCCUAAGGUAGCGAAAUUCCUUGUCGGGUAAGUUCCGACCUGCACGAAUGGCGUAAUGAUGGCCAGGCUGUCUCCACCCGAGACUCAGUGAAAUUGAACUCGCUGUGAAGAUGCAGUGUACCCGCGGCAAGACGGAAAGACCCCGUGAACCUUUACUAUAGCUUGACACUGAACAUUGAGCCUUGAUGUGUAGGAUAGGUGGGAGGCUUUGAAGUGUGGACGCCAGUCUGCAUGGAGCCGACCUUGAAAUACCACCCUUUAAUGUUUGAUGUUCUAACGUUGACCCGUAAUCCGGGUUGCGGACAGUGUCUGGUGGGUAGUUUGACUGGGGCGGUCUCCUCCUAAAGAGUAACGGAGGAGCACGAAGGUUGGCUAAUCCUGGUCGGACAUCAGGAGGUUAGUGCAAUGGCAUAAGCCAGCUUGACUGCGAGCGUGACGGCGCGAGCAGGUGCGAAAGCAGGUCAUAGUGAUCCGGUGGUUCUGAAUGGAAGGGCCAUCGCUCAACGGAUAAAAGGUACUCCGGGGAUAACAGGCUGAUACCGCCCAAGAGUUCAUAUCGACGGCGGUGUUUGGCACCUCGAUGUCGGCUCAUCACAUCCUGGGGCUGAAGUAGGUCCCAAGGGUAUGGCUGUUCGCCAUUUAAAGUGGUACGCGAGCUGGGUUUAGAACGUCGUGAGACAGUUCGGUCCCUAUCUGCCGUGGGCGCUGGAGAAUUGAGGGGGGCUGCUCCUAGUACGAGAGGACCGGAGUGGACGCAUCACUGGUGUUCGGGUUGUCAUGCCAAUGGCACUGCCCGGUAGCUAAAUGCGGAAGAGAUAAGUGCUGAAAGCAUCUAAGCACGAAACUUGCCCCGAGAUGAGUUCUCCCUGACUCCUUGAGAGUCCUGAAGGAACGUUGAAGACGACGACGUUGAUAGGCCGGGUGUGUAAGCGCAGCGAUGCGUUGAGCUAACCGGUACUAAUGAACCGUGAGGCUUAACCUU
RNAcentral lists this ribosomal RNA (2904 nucleotides) under Escherichia coli. RNAcentral's name for it is "23S ribosomal RNA". It matches the Rfam family "Bacterial large subunit ribosomal RNA". The record is from RNAcentral. Lineage: Bacteria; Pseudomonadati; Pseudomonadota; Gammaproteobacteria; Enterobacterales; Enterobacteriaceae.